CGGCGGACGGGUUAGUAACGCGUGGGAAUAUGCCCUUUGGUACGGAAUAGCCUCUGGAAACGGAGAGUAAUACCGUAUGAGCCCUUCGGGGGAAAGAUUUAUCGCCAAAGGAUUAGCCCGCGUUAGAUUAGGUAGUUGGUGGGGUAAUGGCCUACCAAGCCUACGAUCUAUAGCUGGUUUUAGAGGAUGAUCAGCAACACUGGGACUGAGACACGGCCCAGACUCCUACGGGAGGCAGCAGUGGGGAAUCUUGGACAAUGGGGGCAACCCUGAUCCAGCCAUGCCGCGUGAGUGAUGAAGGCCUUUAGGGUCGUAAAGCUCUUUCGCCUGUGAAGAUAAUGACGGUAGCAGGUAAAGAAACCCCGGCUAACUCCGUGCCAGCAGCCGCGGUAAU
Molecule: ribosomal RNA, 394 nt
Filed under: uncultured bacterium
Lineage: Bacteria
Description: bacterial SSU rRNA
Rfam family: Bacterial small subunit ribosomal RNA
Source: RNAcentral